AUCAGCAAAUAGUGUGAAGCAA
RNAcentral lists this small nuclear RNA (22 nucleotides) under Arabidopsis thaliana (thale cress). RNAcentral describes it as "snRNA_18352". Lineage: Eukaryota; Viridiplantae; Streptophyta; Magnoliopsida; Brassicales; Brassicaceae. The record is from RNAcentral.